Molecule: long non-coding RNA, 368 nt
Filed under: Homo sapiens (human)
Lineage: Eukaryota; Metazoa; Chordata; Mammalia; Primates; Hominidae
Description: HSALNT0212666
Source: RNAcentral
ACGCAGCUUCACAGUUAAGGGCAGGCUGGGCCUCUCCUGUCCCACGAGACAGUUCUUAAACAUGAGCAUCACCUGCUUAAGAAGCCUAACUCUGAAGAUUCACCAAAGCAGCUUAAUGGCUCAGGGUACUUUAGGUAGUUUUAUGGUACACAGAGUGGGCAAAGUAGCACUACUUAGAUCUCAUUUCCUCUCGAUGCAUCCAGCAGGAGGGCUACCACUUACUGGACCCUAAGCAAUUGAGAGCAGAAACAGACAAGAACCUGUCCUGCAGCUUGCAAGUCCCUGCCACCUACACACCAAAAUGUAACAGUGGUGGUCUUUCAGCAAUGAUUUUUCUACACGUGAUUUUUUUUCCUUCCUUUUCCUGU